AGUGAACGCUGGCGGUAGGCCUAACACAUGCAAGUCGAACGGCAGCACAGUAAUAGCUUGCUCUUACGGGUGGCGAGUGGCGGACGGGUGCGGAAUACAUCGGAAUCUACUUUUUCGUGGGGGAUAACGUAGGGAAACUUACGCUAAUACCGCAUACGACCUACGGGUGAAAGCAGGGGAUCUUCGGACCUUGCGCGAGUGAAUGAGCCGAUGUCGGAUUAGCUAGUUGGCGGGGUAAAGGCCCACCAAGGCGACGAUCCGUAGCUGGUCUGAGAGGAUGAUCAGCCACACUGGAACUGAGACACGGUCCAGACUCCUACGGGAGGCAGCAGUGGGGAAUAUUGGACAAUGGGCGCAAGCCUGAUCCAGCCAUACCGCGUGGGUGAAGAAGGCCUUCGGGUUGUAAAGCCCUUUUGUUGGGAAAGAAAAGCAGCAGGUUAAUACCCCGCUGUUCUGACGGUACCAAAAGAAUAAGCACCGGCUAACUUCGUG
This 492-nucleotide ribosomal RNA is filed under the name uncultured bacterium. RNAcentral describes it as "partial 16S ribosomal RNA". It matches the Rfam family "Bacterial small subunit ribosomal RNA", at positions 29 to 507 of the family's 1533-position model. The record is from RNAcentral.